This 414-nucleotide ribosomal RNA is filed under the name uncultured bacterium. RNAcentral's name for it is "bacterial SSU rRNA". It matches the Rfam family "Bacterial small subunit ribosomal RNA", at positions 29 to 490 of the family's 1533-position model. The record is from RNAcentral.
AGCGAACGCUGGCGGCAGGCCUAACACAUGCAAGUCGAACGGCUCUUCGGAGCAGUGGCGGACGGGUGAGUAACACGUGGGAACGUGCCCUAAGGUACGGAACAACUGAGGGAAACUUCAGCUAAUACCGUAUGUGCCCUACGGGGGAAAGAUUUAUCGCCUUAGGAGCGGCCCGCGUUGGAUUAGGUAGUUGGUGGGGUAAAGGCCUACCAAGCCUACGAUCCAUAGCUGGUCUGAGAGGANGAUCAGCCACACUGGGACUGAGACACGGCCCAGACUCCUACGGGAGGCAGCAGUGGGGAAUCUUGCGCAAUGGGCGAAAGCCUGACGCAGCCAUGCCGCGUGUAUGAUGAAGGUCUUAGGAUUGUAAAAUACUUUCACCGGGGAAGAUAAUGACGGUACCCGGAGAAGAAG